Molecule: ribosomal RNA, 254 nt
Filed under: uncultured bacterium
Lineage: Bacteria
Description: partial 16S ribosomal RNA
Rfam family: Bacterial small subunit ribosomal RNA
Source: RNAcentral
AGCGAACGCUGGCGGCAUGCCUUACACAUGCAAGUCGAACGGCAGCGCGGGGCAACCUGGCGGCGAGUGGCGAACGGGUGAGUAAUAUAUCGGAACGUACCCUGGAGUGGGGGAUAACGUAGCGAAAGUUACGCUAAUACCGCAUACGAUCUAAGGAUGAAAGCAGGGGACCGCAAGGCCUUGUGCUCCUGGAGCGGCCGACAUCUGAUUAGCUAGUUGGUGGGGUAAAGGCCCACCAAGGCAUCGAUCAGUAG